CUAAGAGCAUGCGGUGGAUGCCUUGGCGCCAAGAGCCGAUGAAGGGCGUGGAUGGCUGCGAUAAGCUUCGGGGAGCUGUCAUCAAGCUGUGAUCCGGAGAUUCCCGAAUGGGGAAACCCGUCCGAGCAAUACUCGGACACCACUGGCUGAAUCCAUAGGCCAGUUGGGGGGCACGGAGGGAACUGAAACAUCUAAGUACCUCCAGGAAAAGAGAUCAUUCCCUGAGUAGUGGCGAGCGAAAGGGGAUCAGCCUAAACCUGUUUUGUGUGAUAGCCGGCAGGCGUUGCAAAACAGGGGUUGUAAGGCCUGGCAGGGUCUGCUGCCGAAGACCCGGGGAGUUACCAAUCCAGUGGUUAGCUGAAUGGCCUGGAAAGGCCAGGCAGAGAGAGUGAAACCCUCGUAAGCGAAAACGACUGGGCUCCCGCCGGUGUCCUUGAGUACCACGGGGCACGCUAAUCCUGUGGGAAGCUGGGAGGUCCACCUCCCAAGGCUAAAUACUCUUGGCGACCGAUAGUGAACAAGUACCGUGAGGGAAAGGUGAAAAGCACCCCGGUGAGGGGAGUUAAAAGAACCUGAAACCGCAUGCUUACAAGCAGUCGAAGGACGAUGCCCUUUGGGCAGGUCUGACGGCGUGCCUCUUGGAGAAUGAGCCGGCGAGUUACUUUCUGUGGCAAGGUUAAGCCAGUUACAGGCGGAGCCGUAGCGAAAGCGAGUCUGAAGAGGGCGUUCAGUCGCAGGAAGUAGACCCGAAACCGGGUGAUCUACCCAUGGCCAGGCUGAAGCGGGAGUAACGUCCCGUGAAGGGCCGAACUCACUAAUAUUGCAAAAUUAGGAGAUGAGCUGUGGGUAGGGGUGAUAUGCCAAACGAACCCGGAGAUAGCUGGUUCUCCCCGAAAUAGCUCUAGGGCUAGCGUCACGUGUUCAGUAUCGGAGGUAGAGCACUGGAUCGGCUAGGGGGCGUAUAGCUUACCGAACCGAACCAAACUCCGAAUGCCGAUACUCUAAACGUGGCAGUCGGACCGCGGGUGAUGAGAUUCGUGGUCAAAAGGGAAACAGCCCAGAUCGCCAGCUAAGGUCCUCAAGUACAGGCUAAGUGGGAAAGGAUGUGGGGUUACUGGGACAGCCAGGAGGUUGGCUUAGAAGCAGCCAUCCUUUAAAGAGUGCGUAAUAGCUCACUGGUCUAGUGAUCCUGCGCCGAAAAUAUACCGGGGCUUAAGCCUGUCACCGAAGCUGCGGGUUCGCUUCCGUUGGGGGGCGAGCGGUAGGGGAGCGUUCUGUAGCGUUGAAGCCUGACCGCGAGGACAGGUGGAGCGAUCAGAAGUGAGAAUGCCGGCAUGAGUAGCGAUAUGCAUGUGAGAACCAUGUACCCCGUAUGUCCAAGGUUUCCGACGGAAGGUUAAUCCGCGUCGGGUUAGUCGGGCCUAAGCCGAGGCCGAAAGGCGUAGGCGAUGGACAACAGGUUAAUAUUCCUGUACCACCUGGAUGGAGCGAUGGGGGGACGCAGAAGGGUAGGUCAGCCUCCGAUUGGUCGUGGAGGUGCUAAGCUCGUAGGGAGUUGAUGGUCCCAGGCAAAUCCGGGACCUGAUCCUGAGGAGUGGGCGGCGCCCGCAAGGGCCACAAGUGACUGAGCCCAGGCUGCCAAGAAAAGCCUCUAAGCGUUGAAGUCUGGGUGCCCGUACCGAGAACCGACACUGGUGGACGGGUAGAACAUACCAAGGGGAUCGGGAGAACCUUCGUUAAGGAAUUAGGCAACAUGGCUCCGUAACUUCGGGAGAAGGAGCGCCGCAGUAGGGUAAGGUAUCUUGCAUGUCCGAGCCCGAGACGGCCGCAGAGAAGUGGCCCUACCGACUGUUUACCAAAAUCACAGGUCUCUGCAAACGCGUAAGCGGAUGUAUAGGGGCUGACGCCUGCCCAGUGCCGGAAGGUUAAAGGGAGGGGUUAGCGCAAGCGAAGCUCUGAACUGAAGCCCCGGUGAACGGCGGCCGUAACUAUAACGGUCCUAAGGUUCAGUCGCGAGCCUUAGUAAAACUGAACUAUAUGCGGGAAACUCCUCAUACAGCUGUGUGGUACUCGCCUGCGCCCGCGCAGACAGUAAAAAUCCACCGGACACGGGGACAAUCCGCAGGGAAGACUUCUAUGGUGCAAGAAGACCAGGAAGAACCCUCAGAGACUUUACGUUCAGUCUCGCCUGACACGAGACUGGAAGCGCAAUGGGUCGUCGGAUUUGUGGAUGGCGAGGGCUGUUUCUACGUAGGCAUCAAUUCGCAUCCCGAGAUGCAAACAGGCUUUCAGGUGCUCCCUGAAUUCACGGUUGUCCAGCACGAACGUGAUGUGCAAAUCCUGUACGCGCUCAAACAGUUCUUCGGCUGUGGCGUUGUUCGCCGCAAUCGUGCUGAACGACUGGCGUACCGGGUGCGCAGCGUGUCACAUCUCCGGGAAAGGAUCGUGCCUUUCUUCGAACAGCACCCUCUCAAAACCAGGAAACGUCUCGACUUCCUCAAGUUCAGGCGCAUCUUGCUCCUCAUGGAGCGGGGAGCGCACCUGACACCCGAGGGGAUCGAACAAAUCCGGACAAUUGCCUCCCAGAUGAACACAGGACGAGAAAGAUAAAGUCCGGCUCCCCUGGAAACAGGGUGAGAACUACCGAGCGAAAUUCCUUGUCGGGUAAGUUCCGACCCGCACGAAUGGCGUAACGAGUGGGGCACUGUCUCGACGAAGGACCCGGUGAAAUUGAAAUAGGCGUGAAGAUGCGUCUUACCCGCAGCAGGACAAAAAGACCCCGUGGAGCUUUACUGCAGCCUGGCAUUGUGUUAGGGCUGAGUCUGUGUAGGAUAGCUGGGAGACUG
RNAcentral lists this ribosomal RNA (2846 nucleotides) under hot springs metagenome. RNAcentral describes it as "bacterial LSU rRNA". It matches the Rfam family "Bacterial large subunit ribosomal RNA", at positions 11 to 2157 of the family's 2925-position model. The record is from RNAcentral.